Molecule: ribosomal RNA, 570 nt
Filed under: Amolops sinensis
Lineage: Eukaryota; Metazoa; Chordata; Amphibia; Anura; Ranidae
Description: partial large subunit ribosomal RNA
Rfam family: Bacterial large subunit ribosomal RNA
Source: RNAcentral
CAAAAACAUCGCCUCUUGACCAAAUAUAAGAGGUCCAGCCUGCCCACUGACAUAGUUUAACGGCCGCGGUACCCUAACCGUGCGAAGGUAGCAUAAUCACUUGUUCUUUAAAUAAGGACUAGUAUCAACGGCAUCACGAGGACUAUACUGUCUCCUUUCUCCAAUCAGUGAAACUGAUCUCCCCGUGAAGAAGCGGGGAUUAACCUAUAAGACGAGAAGACCCCAUGGAGCUUAAAGCCCACAAACACCUCUACGCACUUAAACCAAUUUAGCCUAAGAGACCUGUAAGCCGGCUUUAGGUUGGGGGGACCGCGGAGAAAAACCUAACCUCCACGACAAACGGGCAAACGCCCUUAUCCAUGAAUUACAAUUCUAAGAAUCAAUAAACUGAUGUUUAUGACCCGAUUAUUCGAUCAACGAACCAAGUUACCCUGGGGAUAACAGCGCAAUCUACUUUAAGAGCUCAUAUCGACAAGUAGGUUUACGACCUCGAUGUUGGAUCAGGGUAUCCCAGUGGUGUAGCCGCUACUAAAGGUUCGUUUGUUCAACGAUUAAAACCCUACGUGAUCU